GAUGAACGCUGGCGGCGUGCCUAAUACAUGCAAGUAGAACGCUGAAGCUUGGUGCUUGCACCGAGCGGAUGAGUUGCGAACGGGUGAGUAACGCGUAGGUAACCUGCCUCUUAGCGGGGGAUAACUAUUGGAAACGAUAGCUAAUACCGCAUAAAAGUCGACAUCGCAUGAUAUUGAUUUGAAAGGUGCAAAUGCAUCACUAAGAGAUGGACCUGCGUUGUAUUAGCUAGUUGGUGAGGUAACGGCUCACCAAGGCGACGAUACAUAGCCGACCUGAGAGGGUGAUCGGCCACACUGGGACUGAGACACGGCCCAGACUCCUACGGGAGGCAGCAGUAGGGAAUCUUCGGCAAUGGGGGCAACCCUGACCGAGCAACGCCGCGUGAGUGAAGAAGGUUUUCGGGUCGUAAAGCUCUGUUGUAAGAGAAGAACGAGUGUGAGAGUGGAAAGUUCACACUGUGACGGUAACUUACCAGAAAGG
RNAcentral lists this ribosomal RNA (481 nucleotides) under Streptococcus parasanguinis. RNAcentral describes it as "bacterial SSU rRNA". It matches the Rfam family "Bacterial small subunit ribosomal RNA", at positions 28 to 491 of the family's 1533-position model. Lineage: Bacteria; Bacillati; Bacillota; Bacilli; Lactobacillales; Streptococcaceae. The record is from RNAcentral.